AACGAACGCUGGCGGCAUGCCUAACACAUGCAAGUCGAACGAGACCUUCGGGUCUAGUGGCGCACGGGUGCGUAACGCGUGGGAACCUGCCCUUAGGUUCGGAAUAACUCCCCGAAAGGGGUGCUAAUACCGGAUAAUGUCUUCGGACCAAAGAUUUAUCGCCUUUGGAUGGGCCCGCGUUGGAUUAGCUAGUUGGUAGGGUAAAAGCCUACCAAGGCGACGAUCCAUAGCUGGUCUGAGAGGAUGAUCAGCCACACUGGGACUGAGACACGGCCCAGACUCCUACGGGAGGCAGCAGUGGGGAAUAUUGGUCAAUGGGCGAAAGCCUGAUCCAGCAAUGCUGCGUGAGUGAUGAAGGCCUUAGGGUUGUAAAGCUCUUUUACCCGGGAUGAUAAUGACAGUACCGGGAGAAUAAGCUCCGGCUAACUCCGUG
This 433-nucleotide ribosomal RNA is filed under the name uncultured bacterium. Its description in RNAcentral is "partial 16S ribosomal RNA". It matches the Rfam family "Bacterial small subunit ribosomal RNA", at positions 29 to 507 of the family's 1533-position model. The record is from RNAcentral.